AGAUGGAAAAGACCUGCUGGGUUUCAGGGAGGGAGGCAGGCAAGCCAGAAGCAGAGACAAAGCAUGCUGCAAAUUGCCUGCUCAUCUGUGUCCUUCACUGCCUGGAUUGCUUCAUGGUGUUUACAUAGCAAAGCAAACUCUACAACAUCCCAGGGGCCCAAUGCUGCUGCCCCGGAAUACCGGCAUUUGUCUUUUCUUCAGGCUGUGAAAAGGAACUUAACCUACAUCGGAAAUGUUGUGCUUCAACCAGCACAUACUACUGAGCAGAGGACCUUCAAGCAUAAGGCCUAAAUAGGUAACAUUAUCAACUAACUGG
Long non-coding RNA from Melospiza melodia melodia, 316 nucleotides. RefSeq lists it as uncharacterized. The record is from RefSeq and is a predicted model, not a curated record. NCBI's taxonomy places the organism in Eukaryota, Metazoa, Chordata, Aves, Passeriformes, Passerellidae. The transcript has 3 exons.